This is a long non-coding RNA of Mauremys reevesii (Reeves's turtle), 615 nucleotides long. RefSeq lists it as uncharacterized. NCBI's taxonomy places the organism in Eukaryota, Metazoa, Chordata, Testudines, Geoemydidae. The transcript is spliced from 4 exons. The record is from RefSeq and is a predicted model, not a curated record.
AUCAGUCCAGCCCCAUAUAAACCCCAGCCUCAUCUCCUGCAAUGACAGUAACAAGAGGAGGGAGAAAUGGGAAAACUGGAGAAAGCAACAACAUGGAAGAAAAAAAAAGAUAAAUGGCUUUGAAAAAGUGCCACGAGGAAUGAUUCUCAUGGGAAUAAAUACACUGGACUCUCAAAGAGAGGAAGAUUCAUCUCAGUUCAGAGAUUACACCCAAGGCCCUCGCACCACUUAGAACAGAAUGCUAGUGAGUCUUAAAUCAGGCCUGGAUUAAAGGCAAUCCACUGUUCAAGAGUGAAAUUCACCCAUCUUUUGGAUGGCCAGUGGAGAACCUUCUAUCCCAUCCAAGUCCUGUAUAAGCUCUGUGCAUCUCCUACUGCUUUUAUAAGAAUCUCCACUGCAGACCUGCAUAGAAUAGUCAAAAGGAGAAGAUGGGUCAUGAGAGAAGCUGUGGGUCCAUAUAUAUGCUGAUCCAGUAGCAGCAGAUUCCAAACCGGUAGGCAUUCAGCUCAUGCACAUUUUUGUGAUGGAAGGGAAUAUACAGGAAUAAGAGUUUAAAUACAGGCAGUGUUUAACAACAUCCCUAGCCAAUUCAGCACAAGAUCAUUAUACAGUUGA